RNAcentral lists this ribosomal RNA (252 nucleotides) under uncultured bacterium. Its description in RNAcentral is "partial 16S ribosomal RNA". It matches the Rfam family "Bacterial small subunit ribosomal RNA", at positions 524 to 776 of the family's 1533-position model. The record is from RNAcentral.
UACGGAGGAUGCGAGCGUUAUCCGGACUUAUUGGGUUUAAAGGGUGCGUAGGCGGGAUGCCAAGUCAGCGGUAAAAAUGCGGUGCUCAACGCCGUCGAGCCGUUGAGACUGGCGUUCUUGAGUGGGCGAGAAGUAUGCGGAAUGCGUGGUGUAGCGGUGAAAUGCAUAGAUAUCACGCAGAACUCCGAUUGCGAAGGCAGCAUACCGGCGCCCUACUGACGCUGAGGCACGAAAGCGUGGGUAUCGAACAGG